This is a long non-coding RNA of Tripterygium wilfordii, 495 nucleotides long. RefSeq lists it as uncharacterized. NCBI's taxonomy places the organism in Eukaryota, Viridiplantae, Streptophyta, Magnoliopsida, Celastrales, Celastraceae. The transcript is spliced from 2 exons. The record is from RefSeq and is a predicted model, not a curated record.
GAACAAGGAAGAAUGUUCUCUAGGGACAUAGAGGAAAAGUUAAAUAGUCAACAAGUUUGUCAAUUUAGGUUAAUCCAAUGACACUUACAUUUAAGGAAAUAUGUGAAGAUAAAGAGUUUCAAUGUUACUCUGGAGGUCAAGGCUACUAAUAAGUUUGAAGACUAUAUAUUUAGACACUUGGUUUGGCGAGAUGACAAACAUUAUGUGAGGAUUCGCCUUGCAGUGAGCCACAAGUACAAGGAGGUUCAUUUUGGUUUCUAUACUACCUAUUGAUUAGGUAAUACAUCAGUGUAAUAAGAAACAUAUUGUUAGCUAUAAAGCACCUUGUUGUAUUGAUGCUACUUGUGUACUGUUGCUGCCACGAUGUCAUGUUUUCCUUAUCUUUAUUUGUUCAGAGUCAGAUCAAAAUUCACCAAAGUAAUAUAUUGAAUAUCAUGUGAAUUUGAUUCGACUCGCCAAUUUCCCAAUGUUGGGUUGCUUAUGAUCGUAGGACAA